Molecule: long non-coding RNA, 1691 nt
Filed under: Sus scrofa (pig)
Lineage: Eukaryota; Metazoa; Chordata; Mammalia; Artiodactyla; Suidae
Description: lncRNA (ENSSSCG00050048869.1)
Source: RNAcentral
GCUGGUGGCUCUGGUGAGGCACCUUCUUCACUACAACUGACAUCCUGAUCACUCGGGGACCAGCUUGCCCACCCACGGGCCAGACCCAGUGGCCACUACCAGGACGCUUUUGUCUCUGGUCUCCUCCUGAUGUAGACGACUGGCCAGAGUGCUCUGACCAGGGCUGCACCUGUGGCAUAUGGAAUCGUAAUGCCAGAUCUGAGCCUUGUCUCUGACCUACACCGUGGACCACAAACACUGGAUCCUUAACCCACUGAGCGAGGCCAUGGAUCGAACCUGCAACCUCAUGGUUCCAAGUCGGAUUUGUUUCCACUGCGCCACAAUGGGAACUCUGAGUUGUGUUAAAAUAUGUCCACACCCUCCUCCUUCCCUCUCCACCUGAUCAUCUCCACUCUCUGGGGGACACCAAUCCACAGGAACAGAGCUAGAAUCAGUGAUCUCCAUCUCCUCCCUCCUUCUCCACCUGAGCAUCUUCCUCCUCAGUGGGACGCCUGUGCCAAGAAAGCUACCUAAGUCCAGGUCAGGUGAGUCUUUCCUAUGGGGUCCUUGAUUUCAAGCUGGGUGUCAGGGCUGAAGGGUGCCAAGUGAUUGAAAGCCUGUUCAUGGGACUGAAGAAUCAGGGUCUCUGAUUUCAGGGGGUGAGAUGGUAUUGGGUGCGUUUAGUGUCCCAGCUGACUUUGAGAUAGACAUUUCCCCAUUGGAUGUGCAUUUCUGUGCAAUGAGAGCGAGAGGAGGAAGGCAAUCAUGCUGGCAAGUGGCCCAGGCCAGUGCAGGCCAGACUUCUGCUGUGGGAGGCAGAGGAAGGGCGGAGAGUUGCUGUUGGAGCCCAUGUCCGCCAGAUGGCGCCAGAGCCUCAAGAACAGCCUCUCUGUAGCUCCCUGGCUGCCUCUGCAAGCUCCAUAGGGUGAUGGAGAUGGAUGGAUAGAACCUCAAGGAGGUGCCUAGACCCUUGUGUAUGUGUUUAUUGUGCCUAUGAGCCCAUGGCCCAACUUGCCUCAGCUCAGGGAGGGGACAACUAUAGUCUGCCCUCACAUGAAAAAUUUGUCUGCAUAGGUGGAAAAUUGAUCUGAUAGUAUGACUGUCUAAGGUCUGAGUGUCCUUUGUUUAUUUGGAGGGAGAACUCUUAUCCCAGAAAUACCUGGCUUGAACCAUGGCCGUGCAGUUUUUAAAGUCAGCGUGAUGAUAGAGUUUUGCUUCUGGAAAGCGGGGCUCGUGGUGGUGAAUGCAGUCAGUGCGGUGCUAUUUGGGGAGAUGGGGUGGGCUGGGCUCUUUCUCUUCAGGUAAAUCCACACCCUCCCCCUUCCCUCUCUACCUGAGCCUCUCUAUCCUCUGGGGAACACCUACUCGAAGGUACCGAGCUAAAACCAGGUAAGGUGUAUAACAGCUGGCUUGUGCAUCAUUUCCAUCUAAGUUCCAGGGAUGAAGGCUGCUUAUUCAGUGCCUGGUCUUGGAAUUCUAAUUGUGUCUCAGAGUUGAGAAACCUGACUACUCUCUUUGAGGAAUCCAGUUUCAAACCCUGGCCUUGCUUAGGGGGUUAAGCUUAUGGCGCUGCUGUGAGCUGUGUGUACACAUCGUAGACAGGGCUGUUAUCCCAUGUUGCUGUGGCAUAUGCCCACAGUUAUAGCUCUGAUUUGAGCCUUAACCUGGGAACCUAACAUAUGCUGUGAGUGAGGCCCUAAAAAGCUUAAAAA